AUGGCUUGCCCGGCGUCCUCUGCUUCCGGUGACCUCAACCCGUUCGCCGUCCUUGAGCCACCCACCGCCGCAGCCCUCCGCCAUGUCCCAAUUCAUGACCACAUCCCCAUCACCCUCGACCUACACACUCCCUCCUUCUCCACCUGGCGUACGUAUUUCUCUCUGACGUUCCGCGAGUUCGGCAUCCGCGACCACGUCGACGGAUCAGUGGAUGCCAUGGCCAUGCAGCAUGAUGUCCACUGGCUCUCUGUGGAUGCCACCAUCGUCAAGUGGCUCUAUCGCACGGUGUCUCGCGAGAUUCUCUCGCACAUCAUCCGCGACAACGACACCGCGCUGGGCGCCUGGACCUCCAUCUGCCAGCUCUUCCUCGACAAUCGUCUCCAGCGCCAGGUACUGUUAACCACAGAGUUCUACAGUCUGACGCAGGAUGGGAUGGGGCUGUUCGACUACUGCUUGCGCCUCAAGGUCCUCGCCGACGAGCUGCGCGACGUGGGCGCGGCCGUCUCCGACGCCACCAUGCUCACGAACUCAUUCGUGGGCUGGGUCCCGACUACGCCAACGCCGCCUCCAACCUCAACCUGCUGA
Molecule: ribosomal RNA, 585 nt
Filed under: Triticum aestivum (bread wheat)
Lineage: Eukaryota; Viridiplantae; Streptophyta; Magnoliopsida; Poales; Poaceae
Description: partial small subunit ribosomal RNA
Source: RNAcentral